RNAcentral lists this ribosomal RNA (468 nucleotides) under uncultured bacterium. RNAcentral's name for it is "partial 16S ribosomal RNA". It matches the Rfam family "Bacterial small subunit ribosomal RNA", at positions 28 to 507 of the family's 1533-position model. The record is from RNAcentral.
GACGGACGCUGGCGGCGUGCUUAACACAUGCAAGUCGAACGGUGAAGCUCCAGCUUGCUGGAGUGGAUCAGUGGCGAACGGGUGAGUAACACGUGAGCAACCUGCCCUUGACUCUGGAAUAAGCGCUGGAAACGGCGUCUAAUACUGGAUACGAGAAGGGUCCGCAUGGGCACUUUCUGGAAAGUUUUUCGGUUGGGGAUGGGCUCGCGGCCUAUCAGCUUGUUGGUGAGGUAAUGGCUCACCAAGGCGACGACGGGUAGCCGGCCUGAGAGGGCGACCGGCCACACUGGGACUGAGACACGGCCCAGACUCCUACGGGAGGCAGCAGUGGGGAAUAUUGCACAAUGGGCGAAAGCCUGAUGCAGCGACGCCGCGUGAGGGAUGACGGCCUUCGGGUUGUAAACCUCUUUCAGCAGGGAAGAAGCGAAAGUGACGGUACCUGCAGAAGAAGCACCGGCUAACUACGUG